Molecule: ribosomal RNA, 430 nt
Filed under: Paenisporosarcina quisquiliarum
Lineage: Bacteria; Bacillati; Bacillota; Bacilli; Caryophanales; Caryophanaceae
Description: bacterial SSU rRNA
Rfam family: Bacterial small subunit ribosomal RNA
Source: RNAcentral
GUCGAGCGGAUGAAGAAGAAGCUUGCUUCUUCUGAUUUUAGCGGCGGACGGGUGAGUAACACGUGGGCAACCUACCUUGUAGAUUGGGAUAACUCCGGGAAACCGGGGCUAAUACCGAAUAAUCCAUUUUGCUUCAUGGCGAAAUGUUAAAAGGCGGCUUCGGCUGUCACUGCAAGAUGGGCCCGCGGCGCAUUAGCUAGUUGGUAAGGUAACGGCUUACCAAGGCGACGAUGCGUAGCCGACCUGAGAGGGUGAUCGGCCACACUGGGACUGAGACACGGCCCAGACUCCUACGGGAGGCAGCAGUAGGGAAUCUUCCACAAUGGACGAAAGUCUGAUGGAGCAACGCCGCGUGAGUGAAGAAGGUUUUCGGAUCGUAAAACUCUGUUGUAAGGGAAGAACACGUACGAGAGUAACUGCUCGUACCUUG